UACGGAGGGUGCGAGCGUUAAUCGGAAUUACUGGGCGUAAAGCGCGCGUAGGCGGCUUGUCAAGUUGGUUGUGAAAUCCCCGGGCUCAACCUGGGAACUGCAGCCGAUACUAGCAAGCUAGAGUACGAGAGAGGGGGGUGGAAUUCCUAGUGUAGCGGUGAAAUGCGUAGAUAUUAGGAGGAACACCAGUGGCGAAGGCGGCCCCCUGGUUCGAUACUGACGCUGAGGUGCGAAAGCGUGGGUAGCAAACAGG
RNAcentral lists this ribosomal RNA (253 nucleotides) under uncultured bacterium. Its description in RNAcentral is "partial 16S ribosomal RNA". It matches the Rfam family "Bacterial small subunit ribosomal RNA", at positions 524 to 776 of the family's 1533-position model. The record is from RNAcentral.